RNAcentral lists this long non-coding RNA (325 nucleotides) under Phoenix dactylifera (date palm). RNAcentral describes it as "long non-coding RNA (PDAC_LNC013459)". The record is from RNAcentral. Lineage: Eukaryota; Viridiplantae; Streptophyta; Magnoliopsida; Arecales; Arecaceae.
AAAGCUACGGAUGUCUACUUUCCAACAAAAUUUGAAUCAACUUAAUCAGACUUCUGUAGCUCCCGAAAUAUUCAAAAUACCACAUGGUGUUCAAUCUGUCAUGGAUUUCAACUGGAUCUGAACUCUGAAUUUCUUCCACAUGUGAGAGGUCUUCAUGGUUGAACUUCUCUUUAUUUUGACAUGUGACCACUUCUAAUUAGCCAUGGACCCAUUCACGCCUUGGACUCAAUCUAAUUGACACUGAAGAGGCUAACCCAUUGUGAAUCAAAUCACUUAUUGUAGGGACUCAAUCUAAUUUUAGCUUGGACUCAACUGUUCUUGGACU